UCGGGAUGUAGGUCAGCGGUAGAAUAUUUGCCUUGUGUAAACAAGGCCCUGGGUUUGAUCCCCAGCACCGGAA
This 73-nucleotide transfer RNA is filed under the name Marmota monax (woodchuck). Its description in RNAcentral is "tRNA.Thr". Lineage: Eukaryota; Metazoa; Chordata; Mammalia; Rodentia; Sciuridae. The record is from RNAcentral.